CUCUAUGUAAUAGAUAGACACAUGAACGAGCAUAUGGGUUUUUAUGAACAAGUAAUUUACCCUGAAAUCUAGUAAAUAUCAGCCAGCGUCAGUGGAAAGAGUGGCUCGCCCAACCGAUUUCAGGCCAAAUGAUGUCGAAAUCAUGCCUCGUGUUGCCUGAAAACGGUCUUCAAAAGCCAUGUGUUGCCUGAAAUCAUCCUCGCCUGGCCUUGAUCUUCGACCACUGUUUUCCAAUAGAUGGGUUAGG
Molecule: long non-coding RNA, 247 nt
Filed under: Zostera marina
Lineage: Eukaryota; Viridiplantae; Streptophyta; Magnoliopsida; Alismatales; Zosteraceae
Description: long non-coding RNA (ZMAR_LNC001723)
Source: RNAcentral